CAGUGUUUCAUAUCUUAUGCUUUGUCUAGCAAGGGCUAUCCGGCAUGUUUUUCCGGAUAGCCCUC
Saprospiraceae bacterium is the source of this 65-nucleotide non-coding RNA. It matches the Rfam family "U7 small nuclear RNA". Rfam says of the family: Animal histone pre-mRNAs are spliced by a different mechanism than nuclear pre-mRNAs and self-splicing introns. This processing involves the U7 snRNP, which contains only one RNA species: U7. The record is from Rfam. Lineage: Bacteria; Pseudomonadati; Bacteroidota; Saprospiria; Saprospirales; Saprospiraceae.